AUAUCAAUAAGCGGAGGAAAAGAAACCAACAGGGAUUGCCCCAGUAACGGCGAGUGAAGCGGCAACAGCUCAAAUUUGAAAUCUGGCCCCAGGCCCGAGUUGUAAUUUGCAGAGGAUGCUUUUGGCGCGGUGCCUUCCGAGUUCCCUGGAACGGGACGCCAUAGAGGGUGAGAGCCCCGUACGGUUGGACACCAAGCCUUUGUAAAGCUCCUUCGACGAGUCGAGUAGUUUGGGAAUGCUGCUCAAAAUGGGAGGUAUAUUUCUUCUAAAGCUAAAUAUAGGCCAGAGACCGAUAGCGCACAAGUAGAGUGAUCGAAAGAUGAAAAGCACUUUGAAAAGAGGGUUAAACAGCACGUGAAAUUGUUAAAAGGGAAGCGCUUGUGACCAGACUUGCGUCCGGUGAAUCACCCAGCUCUCGCGGCUGGGGCACUUCGCCGGCACAGGCCAGCAUCAGCUUGCCGUCGGGGACAAAAGCUUCAGGAACGUAGCUCUCUUCGGGGAGUGUUAUAGCCUGUUGCAUAAUACCCUUCGGCGGGCUGAGGUACGCGCUCCGCAAGGAUGCUGGCGUAAUGGUCAUCAGCGACCCGUCUUGAAACACGGACCAAGGAGUCAACCUUAUGUGCGAGUGUUUGGGUGUUAAACCCCUACGCGUAAUGAAAGUGAACGCAGGUGAGAGCUUCGGCGCAUCAUCGACCGAUCCUGAUGUUCUCGGAUGGAUUUGAGUAAGAGCAUAUAGGGUUGGACCCGAAAGAAGGUGAACUAUGCGUGUGUAGGGUGAAGCCAGAGGAAACUCUGGUGGAGGCUCGCAGCGGUUCUGACGUGCAAAUCGAUCGUCAAACAUGCGCAUGGGGGCGAAAGACUAAUCGAACCUUCUAGUAGCUGGUUUCCGC
This 890-nucleotide ribosomal RNA is filed under the name Colletotrichum destructivum. RNAcentral describes it as "eukaryotic LSU rRNA". It matches the Rfam family "Eukaryotic large subunit ribosomal RNA", at positions 40 to 961 of the family's 3401-position model. The record is from RNAcentral. Lineage: Eukaryota; Fungi; Ascomycota; Sordariomycetes; Glomerellales; Glomerellaceae.